CGGACGGGUGAGUAACGCGUGGGUAACCUGCCCUGUACAGGGGGAUAACAGUUAGAAAUGACUGCUAACACCGCAUAAGCGCACGGUAAGGCAUCUUAGUGUGUGAAAAUAUUCAUAGGUACAGGAUGGGCCCGCGUCUGAUUAGCCAGUUGGCAGGGUAACGGCCGUACCAAAGCGACGAUCAGUAGCCGGCGUUGAGAGAGUGAACCGGCCACAUUGGGACUGAGACACGGCCCAAACUCCUACGGGAGGCAGCAG
This 258-nucleotide ribosomal RNA is filed under the name uncultured bacterium. RNAcentral describes it as "partial 16S ribosomal RNA". It matches the Rfam family "Bacterial small subunit ribosomal RNA", at positions 99 to 354 of the family's 1533-position model. The record is from RNAcentral.